AUUGAACGCUGGCGGCAGGCCUAACACAUGCAAGUCGAGCGAGCGGCGGACGGGUGAGUAAUGUCUGGGAAACUGCCUGAUGGAGGGGGAUAACUACUGGAAACGGUAGCUAAUACCGCAUACCAUCAGAUGUUCCCAGAUGGGAUUCGCUGGUAGGUGGGGUAACGGCUCACCUAGGCGACGAUCCCUAGCUGGUCUGAGAGGAUGACCAGCGACACGUGACAUGACACACGGUCCAGACUCAUACGGGUGGAAGCAGUGGGGAAUAUUGCACAAUGGGAGAAAGCCUGAGGCAGCCAUGGCGCGUGUGUGAAGAAGGCCUUCGGGUUGUAAAGCACUUGAAGCGGGGAGGCGUUACCCGCAGAAGAAGCACCGGCUAACUCCGUGCCAGCAGCCGCGGUAAUUC
Molecule: ribosomal RNA, 406 nt
Filed under: uncultured bacterium
Lineage: Bacteria
Description: partial 16S ribosomal RNA
Rfam family: Bacterial small subunit ribosomal RNA
Source: RNAcentral